AAAAUUGAAGUUUAAUGAACGUCUUACUUACGAUAAGAAGGUCCGCAAGGCAAUUUUA
RNAcentral lists this transfer RNA (58 nucleotides) under Menacanthus cornutus. Its description in RNAcentral is "tRNA-Val". The record is from RNAcentral. Lineage: Eukaryota; Metazoa; Arthropoda; Insecta; Psocodea; Menoponidae.